This 1043-nucleotide ribosomal RNA is filed under the name Trechalea bucculenta. RNAcentral's name for it is "SSU rRNA". It matches the Rfam family "Eukaryotic small subunit ribosomal RNA", at positions 683 to 1746 of the family's 1831-position model. Lineage: Eukaryota; Metazoa; Arthropoda; Arachnida; Araneae; Trechaleidae. The record is from RNAcentral.
UGCCCGUUCUGAACAGCCAGCCGGUUUCUCUUGAUGAUCUUCACCGGUUGUCUCGGGUGACCGGCAAGUUUACUUUGAAAAAAUUAGAGUGCUCAAAGCAGGCGCGACGCCUGAAUAAUGGUGCAUGGAAUAAUGGAAUAGGACCUCGGUUCUAUUUUGUUGGUUUUCGGAACACGAGGUAAUGAUUAAGAGGGACAGACGGGGGCAUUCGUAUUGCGACGCUAGAGGUGAAAUUCUUGGACCGUCGCAAGACGAACUACUGCGAAAGCAUUUGCCAAGAAUGUUUCCAUUAAUCAAGAACGAAAGUUAGAGGUUCGAAGGCGAUCAGAUACCGCCCUAGUUCUAACCAUAAACGAUGCCAGCCAGCGAUCCGGCUGUGUUCCUCAAAUGACACGCCGGGCAGCUUCCGGGAAACCAAAGCUUUUGGGUUCCGGGGGAAGUAUGGUUGCAAAGCUGAAACUUAAAGGAAUUGACGGAAGGGCACCACCAGGAAUGGAGCCUGCGGCUUAAUUUGACUCAACACGGGAAAACUUACCCGGCCCGGACACAGGAAGGAUUGACAGAUUAAGAGCUCUUUCUUGAUUCUGUGGGUGGUGGUGCAUGGCCGUUCUUAGUUGGUGGAGCGAUUUGUCUGGUUAAUUCCGAUAACGAACGAGACUCUAGCCUACUAAAUAGACGUCCCGAUCACUCUCGUCGGGCGUUCUUCUUAGAGGGACAAGCGGCGUUUAGCCGCACGAGACAGAGCAAUAACAGGUCUGUGAUGCCCUUAGAUGUCCGGGGCCGCACGCGCGCUACAUUGAAGGAAUCAGCGUGUGCUUUCCCGUUCCGACAGGAUUGGGUAACCCGUUGAACCUCCUUCGUGCUGGGGAUAGGAUCCUGUAAUUGAAUCCUUGAACGAGGAAUUCCCAGUAAGCGCGAGUCAUAAGCUCGUGUUGAUUACGUCCCUGCCCUUUGUACACACCGCCCGUCGCUACUACCGAUUGAAUGAUUUAGUGAGGUCUUCGGACUGGCGCUCGGAGCGGCCUUCGGGUCGCGCCGGCGUG